Molecule: ribosomal RNA, 1384 nt
Filed under: uncultured bacterium
Lineage: Bacteria
Description: partial 16S ribosomal RNA
Rfam family: Bacterial small subunit ribosomal RNA
Source: RNAcentral
AGAGUUUGAUCCUGGCUCAGGAUGAACGCUGGCGGCGUGCUUAACACAUGCAAGUCGAACGGGAAACCUUUUAUUGAAGCUUCGGCAGAUUUAGAUUGUUUCUAGUGGCGGACGGGUGAGUAACGCGUGGGUAACCUGCCUUAUACAGGGGGAUAACAGUCAGAAAUGACUGCUAAUACCGCAUAAGCGCACAGAGCUGCAUGGCUCGGUGUGAAAAACUCCGGUGGUAUAAGAUGGACCCGCGUUGGAUUAGCUAGUUGGUGGGGUAACGGCCUACCAAGCCGACGAUCAGUAGCCGACCUGAGAGGGUGACCGGCCACAUUGGGACUGAGACACGGCCCAAACUCCUACGGGAGGCAGCAGUGGGGAAUAUUGCACAAUGGGGGAAACCCUGAUGCAGCGACGCCGCGUGGAGGAAGAAGGUCUUCGGAUUGUAAACUCCUGUUGUUGAGGAAGAUAAUGACGGUACUCAACAAGGAAGUGACGGCUAACUACGUGCCAGCAGCCGCGGUAAUACGUAGGUGGCGAGCGUUAUCCGGAAUGAUUGGGCGUAAAGGGUGCGUAGGUGGCAGAACAAGUCUGGAGUAAAAGGUAUGGGCUCAACCCGUACUGGCUCUGGAAACUGUUCAGCUAGAGAACAGAAGAGGACGGCGGAACUCCAUGUGUAGCGGUAAAAUGCGUAGAUAUAUGGAAGAACACCGGUGGCGAAGGCGGCCGUCUGGUCUGUUGCUGACACUGAAGCACGAAAGCGUGGGGAGCAAAUAGGAUUAGAUACCCUAGUAGUCCACGCCGUAAACGAUGAGAACUAGGUGUUGGGGGAAUAACUCAGUGCCGCAGUUAACGCAAUAAGUAAUCCACCUGGGGAGUACGUUCGCAAGAAUGAAACUCAAAGGAAUUGACGGGGGCCCGCACAAGCGGUGGAUUAUGUGGUUUAAUUCGAAGCAACGCGAAGAACCUUACCAAGUCUUGACAUCCCUCUGACCGGAACUUAAUCGUUCCUUUCCUUCGGGACAGAGGAGACAGGUGGUGCAUGGUUGUCGUCAGCUCGUGUCGUGAGAUGUUGGGUUAAGUCCCGCAACGAGCGCAACCCCUAUCCCCAGUAGCCAGCGGUUCGGCCGGGCACUCUGAGGAGACUGCCAGGGAUAACCUGGAGGAAGGCGGGGAUGACGUCAAAUCAUCAUGCCCCUUAUGAUUUGGGCUACACACGUGCUACAAUGGCGUAAACAAAGGGAAGCGAACCUGCGAGGGUGGGCAAAUCCCAAAAAUAACGUCCCAGUUCGGACUGUAGUCUGCAACCCGACUACACGAAGCUGGAAUCGCUAGUAAUCGCGGAUCAGAAUGCCGCGGUGAAUACGUUCCCGGGUCUUGCACACACCGCCCGUCA